CAAGGUUGGAUGAAAUGAAGCCCUAAAUCUAGUGUCCUCUCACCUGGCUUCUGGUCCCCCUCUCAUCGCCUUGGCUCCAUCUCUUGUCGUUGGCCUUCUGGCUCACAUCGUCGACAUGGCCGUCCCGUCCCGUCCCGGCUGUCGCUGUCACCAUGGCUAAUGACCUUUUGAUCUCUUUGAUUCUUUUGAUCCUCUGAAGAAGGGUAAGUGGCAAAGAAAGUAUCGGUGGGAGUGAAGAUGUUGGGCAGAUUGCUGGGAAGCAACAAAUAGUAAUGGCGGGACUGGAUUACAUAAUUCGAGCUGCAAAUUAGGUCAAUGGUUGUAGAACUAGAAGGCAACUACUCGAAGCUAUGAUGGCCAUGCAAUGAAUAUACUGACAUUAUGGCCAGAUAUGCUUGUUCAAAUUCUAGCACUAUGCUUUUCCAUCAAGGAGGUGACCUUCCUAAUUGGUUACUGAUGCUGCUGCCAAAGCUGGCCUAGUGUUCUAGUCUUUUUCUUUUCUUUAGCUUAAGCUCAGUUUGUAAAAAAAAAA
Long non-coding RNA from Dioscorea cayenensis subsp. rotundata (Guinea yam), 532 nucleotides. RefSeq lists it as uncharacterized. NCBI's taxonomy places the organism in Eukaryota, Viridiplantae, Streptophyta, Magnoliopsida, Dioscoreales, Dioscoreaceae. The record is from RefSeq and is a predicted model, not a curated record. The transcript is spliced from 3 exons.